UCUGUCUGUCUGUCUCUCUCUCCCAGGCCUUAUGACCUAUAGAAGCCAGGCGGUGCAGGAACAUGCCAGCACCAACAUGGGGCUGGAGGCCAUAAUUAGAAAGGCACUCAUGGGUAAAUAUGACCAGUGGGAAGAGUCCCCGCCACUCAGCGCCAAUGCUUUUAACCCUCUGAAUGCCAGUGCCAGCCUGCCCGCUGCUAUGCCCAUAACCGCUGCUGACGGACGGAGUGACCACACACUCACCUCGCCAGGUGGCGGCGGGAAGGCCAAGGUCUCUGGCAGACCCAGCAGCCGAAAAGCCAAGUCCCCGGCCCCGGGCCUGGCGUCUGGGGACCGGCCACCCUCUGUCUCCUCAGUGCACUCGGAGGGAGACUGCAACCGCCGGACGCCGCUCACCAACCGCGUGUGGGAGGACAGGCCCUCGUCCGCAGGUGGGCACCAGGUGGGGACAGGGCUGGGCUCGCCGAGCCCCCCGACACUGGGCUGUGAAUGCUGCCGGG
This 500-nucleotide small RNA is filed under the name Pan troglodytes (chimpanzee). RNAcentral's name for it is "retained intron". The record is from RNAcentral. Lineage: Eukaryota; Metazoa; Chordata; Mammalia; Primates; Hominidae.